AGAGUUUUAUCAUGGCUCAGGACGAACGCUGGCGGCGCGCCUAACACAUGCAAGUCGAACGAGCGAGAGAGAGCUUGCUUUCUCAAGCGAGUGGCGAACGGGUGAGUAACGCGUGAGGAACCUGCCUCAGAGAGGGGGACAACAGUUGGAAACGACUGCUAAUACCGCAUAAGCCCACGGCUCGGCAUCGAGCAGAGGGAAAAGGAGCAAUCCGCUUUGAGAUGGCCUCGCGUCCGAUUAGCUAGUUGGUGAGGUAACGGCCCACCGAGGCGACGAUCGGUAGCCGGACUGAGAGGUUGAACGGCCACAUUGGGACUGAGACACGGCCCAGACUCCUACGGGAGGCAGCAGUGGGGAAUAUUGCACAAUGGGGGAAACCCUGAUGCAGCGACGCCGCGUGGAGGAAGAAGGUCUUCGGAUUGUAAACUCCUGUUGUUGAGGAAGAUAAUGACGGUACUCAACAAGGAAGUGACGGCUAACUACGUGCCAGCAGCCGCGGUAAAACGUAGGUCACAAGCGUUGUCCGGAAUUACUGGGUGUAAAGGGAGCGCAGGCGGGAAGACAAGUUGGAAGUGAAAUCCAUGGGCUCAACCCAUGAACUGCUUUCAAAACUGUUUUUCUUGAGUAGUGCAGAGGUAGGCGGAAUUCCCGGUGUAGCGGUGGAAUGCGUAGAUAUCGGGAGGAACACCAGUGGCGAAGGCGGCCUACUGGGCACCAACUGACGCUGAGGCUCGAAAGUGUGGGUAGCAAACAGGAUUAGAUACCCUGGUAGUCCACACUGUAAACGAUGAUUACUAGGUGUUGGAGGAUUGACCCCUUCAGUGCCGCAGUUAACACAAUAAGUAAUCCACCUGGGGAGUACGACCGCAAGGUUGAAACUCAAAGGAAUUGACGGGGGCCCGCACAAGCAGUGGAGUAUGUGGUUUAAUUCGACGCAACGCGAAGAACCUCACCAAGUCUUGACAUCCUGCGACGCACAUAGAAAUAUGUGUUUCCUUCGGGACGCAGAGACAGGUGGUGCAUGGUUGUCGUCAGCUCGUGUCGUGAGAUGUUGGGUUAAGUCCCGCAACGAGCGCAACCCCUAUCUUCAGUAGCCAGCAGGUAAGGCUGGGCACUCUGGAGAGACUGCCAGGGAUAACCUGGAGGAAGGUGGGGACGACGUCAAAUCAUCAUGCCCCUUAUGAUCUGGGCGACACACGUGCUACAAUGGCGGUCACAGAGUGAGGCGAACCCGCGAGGGGGAGCAAACCACAAAAAGGCCGUCCCAGUUCGGACUGUAGUCUGCAACCCGACUACACGAAGCUGGAAUCGCUAGUAAUCGCGAAUCAGAAUGUCGCGGUGAAUACGUUCCCGGGUCUUGUACACACCGCCCGUCACACCAUGGGAGUCGGAAAUGCCCGAAGCCAGUGACCCAACCUUUUGGAGGGAGCUGUCGAAGGUGGAGCCGGUAACUGGGGUGAAGUCGUAACAAGGUA
This 1475-nucleotide ribosomal RNA is filed under the name metagenome. RNAcentral's name for it is "bacterial SSU rRNA". It matches the Rfam family "Bacterial small subunit ribosomal RNA". The record is from RNAcentral.